CCUACGGGUGGCAGCAGUGAGGAAUAUUGGUCAAUGGGCGCGAGCCUGAACCAGCCAAGUAGCGUGAGGGAUGACUGCCCUACGGGUUGUAAACUUCUUUUAUAAAGGAAUAAAGUGAGGCACGUGUGCCUUUUUGUAUGUACUUUAUGAAUAAGGAUCGGCUAACUCCGUGCCAGCAGCCGCGGUAAUACGGAGGCUCCGAGCGUUAUCCGGAUUUAUUGGGUUUAAAGGGAGCGUAGAUGGGUUGUUAAGUCAGUUGUGAAAGUUUGCGGCUCAACCAUAAAAUUGCAAUGGAUACUGGCAGUCUAGAGUACAGUUGAGGUAGGCGGAAUGCGUGGGGUAGCGGUGAAAUGCUGAGAUAUCACGAAGAACUCCGAUUGCGAAGGCAGCUUACUAAACUGCCACUGACAUUGAUGCUCGAAAGUGUGGGUAUCAAACAGGAUUAGAUACCCCAGUAGUC
RNAcentral lists this ribosomal RNA (460 nucleotides) under uncultured bacterium. RNAcentral's name for it is "partial 16S ribosomal RNA". It matches the Rfam family "Bacterial small subunit ribosomal RNA", at positions 338 to 795 of the family's 1533-position model. The record is from RNAcentral.